This 253-nucleotide ribosomal RNA is filed under the name uncultured bacterium. RNAcentral's name for it is "partial 16S ribosomal RNA". It matches the Rfam family "Bacterial small subunit ribosomal RNA", at positions 524 to 776 of the family's 1533-position model. The record is from RNAcentral.
GACGUAGGGCGCAAGCGUUGUCCGGAUUUAUUGGGCGUAAAGAGCUCGUAGGCGGUUUGUCGCGUCUGCCGUGAAAGUCCGGGGCUCAACUCCGGAUCUGCGGUGGGUACGGGCAGACUAGAGUGAUGUAGGGGAGACUGGAAUUCCUGGUGUAGCGGUGAAAUGCGCAGAUAUCAGGAGGAACACCGAUGGCGAAGGCAGGUCUCUGGGCAUUAACUGACGCUGAGGAGCGAAAGCAUGGGGAGCGAACAGG